AAGUGCACAGGAAGCUGUGAGGGAGCAUGGCCAGGACAGCUGACCUGAACUGGCCAAAGGGAUAUUCCAUACCAUGAAAUGUCAUGCUGAGGACGUGGGGAGGGUCCCAGGAGCUGCCAGUGACAGCUCAGGAUGGGCUGGGCAUUGGUCAGCAGCUGAAACAGAGCAAUGAAUUGAAAGAGCAAGUUGCUCAUCUUCAUUUUUUAGUGGUGCCCUUUAGGUAUUGGAAGGCUGACAUAAGAUGUCCUUGAAGCCUCCUCUUCUCCAGGCUGAACAGCCCCAGCUCUUAGCCUGUCAUCUUAAGAGAGCUAGUGCUUAGGAAUACCAUACCUACAAGUCUUCAGAACCAAACAAAGCCACUUGGCAUUCAGAACUUUCUAGUUCAGGGUGUAAUUAAAUUGCACAAUAAACAAAAAGAACAUUAAAUGGUCUCUGAUAUCAUAACUACUAUUCAAUGAGAAAUAUUCACAUUCUGGGAAAGCUCAUUUUUCAAAUACUGCCUCUGUCUUGAAUAGGAUAUUGAAUUGAAACCUCAUUACAUUGGACCAUAACUCUAUCCAAUUGUAGCACUUUGUUUCCAUGAUUUCAGAGCACUUCAUUUA
This is a long non-coding RNA of Motacilla alba alba, 602 nucleotides long. RefSeq lists it as uncharacterized. Lineage: Eukaryota; Metazoa; Chordata; Aves; Passeriformes; Motacillidae. The record is from RefSeq and is a predicted model, not a curated record. The transcript is spliced from 4 exons.